GAAUUCUUUGAAGUGGUGGAUGCCCACCAUUACACCACCAUUACUCCCACUACCACCACCACAACUCCCACCAUCAUCUCCACCAUUAUUCAUCAUUAAAAGUAUUGUAACUCUUGACCUUUGAGAGGUCUUUCUUGUACUAUAUAUACAACACAAUGUAAAUGUAUUUUAUAUACAAGAAGAAGAAGAGAAAUACAUAUUUUAUUCUCUCUAUUUAGUCUCUUAGUUCUCUUUAUUAUGUUGUGUUCUUCUUCAUUUUCUAACACGUUAUCAGCACGAGUUUGCUCUAUUUUCAUUUCUAGCUAAUAUAUUUCAACUAUGGAGAUUAGCGUUGAUGAUGAUCCAAAAGUGGAGGAUGCUUCAACCCAUAAUGAUGAAAAGGGAGAUGCUUCAUUAUAUUUUAUUGUUUUUUUUAGUUGAAGAACAAUAUUAACAAUCUUAUUUAUGUUGUAGAUAGAAUUUUGCACAAUUCAUAAUGUCAGACUUUGAGAACAUACUGAAUCGCUGAAAUCGGAUGUCGGACUUGAGAGAUAUGCUUAAAAUACUCAGACCUGGCAGAACUGUCAAUUCUGCGGAUUUUUUUUUUCGACCCACAAAAUAUUGAGGUACCCAAUUUUUUUUUUAAUUAUCAACACUCUGGUAUGUUCUUUGGUU
Molecule: non-coding RNA, 654 nt
Organism: Erythranthe guttata (spotted monkey flower)
Lineage: Eukaryota; Viridiplantae; Streptophyta; Magnoliopsida; Lamiales; Phrymaceae
Source: RefSeq, a predicted model, not a curated record